GCCAAAUGGCGUACAAUGGCUUGAAGCAUCUUUCCCGACCACCGUUGGAGGGAUUCGAUAGUGCUCACCUUGUGCUCCACCGUUGCAAGCCGAUUUCUCGUGAUCACCAACUCUCGCUCCAUUCUUCGUUGAAAUCGUCGGUCCGAACUUGUGCUUGGACCCUCGGGUGGAGCUAUUGGUUGGUUCUCGACGGGUUGCUCGCCAUCUUGG
This 210-nucleotide long non-coding RNA is filed under the name Erythranthe guttata (spotted monkey flower). RNAcentral describes it as "long non-coding RNA (EGUT_LNC000726)". The record is from RNAcentral. Lineage: Eukaryota; Viridiplantae; Streptophyta; Magnoliopsida; Lamiales; Phrymaceae.